This is a long non-coding RNA of Carcharodon carcharias (great white shark), 423 nucleotides long. RefSeq lists it as uncharacterized. The record is from RefSeq and is a predicted model, not a curated record. The transcript has 3 exons. NCBI's taxonomy places the organism in Eukaryota, Metazoa, Chordata, Chondrichthyes, Lamniformes, Lamnidae.
GAACCUGCAGCCAUGUUGGUCACGGGAGCACAAGGGUCAAUGUUUUCUUCCAUGUUUAUACUGUUUUAGGUGUGGCUUCUGGGUGCAUAGGAGUUGUUGUUCCCGGAUUUGUGUUGCUACUUCUGGAAAUCUGUUAAAAACGACGGCAGAUGUUGAAGAUUCCAACACACUUGGACAGUGGAAAGCAAAUUGUGCGGUGAUGAUGGAGAAACAAGUCAAAGGACAGGAGGAGGAGUAUCAUCACAAAACAGGCUACAAAGCUUCUGCUGAACCAGUCACAGAGGAGGAGAUUCCACCAAAACAGCCCUUAAGAAACUACUUUUUCUGAGCAGAAGUAAUGGAGAAGAUUUUCAAAGCAUACUGCCAAUUUCCAUGUUCUUUAAUCCUUUAACAGACAAAUAAAUAUUGUCUUUUUCAUUUUAA